GUCCAGUGAUGAGACCAAGGCGAAUACGAGUUAACUGAAUGAGAGCUGGGUUCCUCGUUGUCUUGACUGGCAGGUAAUCUUGGCAGUGCAGAGGAGCGUUCCUGCUCUGCUGUAAGGGCCUGCCUACAGUGACCUGGCUUAACCCAAAUUAUUCCUUUUUAAAGUUACAGUGGAAUAAUCACAGGGAUGAUGCCUACAGUGUGUGUGUGUGUGUGUGCGAGUGGUUGGUUGUGUGAAUGUGUACAAGUCAAAGAGUUCACCCAGCUCUCUUUGACGUUCAGUCAGCAGUGAGUUGCUCUUUGGUAAUCUGAGGGCC
Small nucleolar RNA from Cottoperca gobio, 316 nucleotides. NCBI's taxonomy places the organism in Eukaryota, Metazoa, Chordata, Actinopteri, Perciformes, Bovichtidae. The record is from Ensembl.